This 389-nucleotide ribosomal RNA is filed under the name Macaca fascicularis (crab-eating macaque). RNAcentral describes it as "partial 12S ribosomal RNA". It matches the Rfam family "Bacterial small subunit ribosomal RNA", at positions 794 to 1383 of the family's 1533-position model. The record is from RNAcentral. Lineage: Eukaryota; Metazoa; Chordata; Mammalia; Primates; Cercopithecidae.
GCUUGGCCCUAAACCUCAGUAGUUAGAUAACAAAACUACUCGCCAGAAUACUACAAGCAACAGCUUAAAACUCAAAGGACUUGACGGUGCUUUACAUCCCCCUAGAGGAGCCUGUUCCGUAAUCGAUAAACCCCGAUCCACCCCACCCUCUCUUGCUCAGCCUAUAUACCGCCAUCUUCAGCAAACCCCAAUGAAGGYUACAAAGUGAGCGCAAACGCCACUGCCGCGAAUACGUUAGGUCAAGGUGUAGCCCAUGAGACGGUAAAAAAUGGGCUACAUUUUCUAUUUCAGAAAACCCCACGAAAACUCUUAUGAAACUUAAGGGUCCAAGGAGGAUUUAGCAGUAAAUUAAGAAUAGAGUGCUUAAUUGAACCAGGCCAUAAAGCGCG